This 253-nucleotide ribosomal RNA is filed under the name uncultured bacterium. RNAcentral's name for it is "partial 16S ribosomal RNA". It matches the Rfam family "Bacterial small subunit ribosomal RNA", at positions 524 to 776 of the family's 1533-position model. The record is from RNAcentral.
GACGAAGGGGGCUAGCGUUGUUCGGAAUUACUGGGCGUAAAGCGCGUGUAGGCGGUUGCCCAAGUCGGGUGUGAAAGCCUUGAGCUCAACUCAAGAAAUGCACUCGGUACUGGGUGACUAGAGGACCGGAGAGGAUAGUGGAAUUCCCAGUGUAGUGGUGAAAUACGUAGAGAUUGGGAAGAACACCUGCGGCGAAGGCGGCCUUCUGGACGAUGACUGACGCUGAGACGCGAAAGCGUGGGGAGCAAACAGG